RNAcentral lists this ribosomal RNA (489 nucleotides) under uncultured Saccharopolyspora sp. RNAcentral describes it as "partial 16S ribosomal RNA". The record is from RNAcentral. Lineage: Bacteria; Bacillati; Actinomycetota; Actinomycetes; Pseudonocardiales; Pseudonocardiaceae.
CACGUAGUUAGCCGGUGCUUCUUCUACAUCUACCGUCACCCGAAGGCUUCGUCGAUGUCGAAAGAGGUUUACAACCCGAAGGCCGUCAUCCCCCACGCGGCGUUGCUGCGUCAGGCUUUCGUCCCAUUGCGCAAGAUUCCCCACCUGCUGCCUCCCGUAGGAGUCUGGGCCGUGUCUCAGUCCCAGUGUGGCCGGUCACCCUCUCAGGCCGGCUACCCGUCGUCGCCUUGGUAGGCCAUCACCCCACCAACAAGCUGAUAGGCCGCGGGCUCAACCUGCACCGCCGGAACUUUCCACACGCAGACCAUGCGGCCACGUGUCCUAUCCGGUAUUAGACCCCGUUUCCAGGGCUUAUCCCAGAGUGCAGGGCAGAUUACCCACGUGUUACUCACCCGUUCGCCACUCAUCCACACCCGAAGAUGCUUCAGCGUUCGACUUGCAUGUGUUAAGCACGCCGCCAGCGUUCGUCCUGAGCCAGGAUCAAACUCU